This 250-nucleotide ribosomal RNA is filed under the name uncultured prokaryote. RNAcentral describes it as "partial 16S ribosomal RNA". It matches the Rfam family "Bacterial small subunit ribosomal RNA", at positions 524 to 773 of the family's 1533-position model. The record is from RNAcentral.
UACGUAGGUGGCGAGCGUUAUUCGGAAUAACUAGGCGUAAAGCGUAUGUAGGCGACUAUACAAGUCUAUGGUGAAAUUUCCUGGCUUAACCGGGAAGGGUACAUAGAUACUGUAUGGAUUGAGUGUUGCAGGGGGAGACGGAAUUCCUGGUGUAGCGGUGAAAUGCGUAGAUAUCAGGAGGAACACCGAUGGCGAAAGCAGUCUCCUGGGCAAAUACUGACGCUGAGGUACGAAAGCGUGGGGAGCAAAC